RNAcentral lists this non-coding RNA (110 nucleotides) under uncultured Ruminococcus sp. RNAcentral's name for it is "FMN riboswitch (RFN element)". It matches the Rfam family "FMN riboswitch aptamer (RFN element)". Rfam says of the family: The RFN element is a highly conserved domain that is found frequently in the 5'-untranslated regions of prokaryotic mRNAs that encode for flavin mononucleotide (FMN) biosynthesis and transport proteins. This element is a metabolite-dependent riboswitch that directly binds FMN in the absence of proteins. Lineage: Bacteria; Bacillati; Bacillota; Clostridia; Eubacteriales; Oscillospiraceae. The record is from RNAcentral.
UAUCUUCGGGGCAUGGUGAAAAUCCAUACCGGCAGUAAAGCCUGCGAACCUGAUAAGGUUGAUUCGGUGAAACUCCGAAGCCGACGGUCAAAGUCCGGAUGAAAGAAGAU